GACCGCGUAGCUCAGUCGGAAGAGCAUUGGGCUAGUAUUCCAAAGGUCGUAGGUUCGAAUCCCACCGUGGCCG
This 73-nucleotide transfer RNA is filed under the name Paramuricea clavata. It matches the Rfam family "tRNA". Rfam says of the family: Transfer RNA (tRNA) molecules are approximately 80 nucleotides in length. Their secondary structure includes four short double-helical elements and three loops (D, anti-codon, and T loops). Further hydrogen bonds mediate the characteristic L-shaped molecular structure. tRNAs have two regions of fundamental functional importance: the anti-codon, which is responsible for specific mRNA codon recognition, and the 3' end, to which the tRNAs corresponding amino acid is attached (by aminoacyl-tRNA synthetases). tRNAs cope with the degeneracy of the genetic code in two manners: having more than one tRNA (with a specific anti-codon) for a particular amino acid; and 'wobble' base-pairing, i.e. permitting non-standard base-pairing at the 3rd anti-codon position. Lineage: Eukaryota; Metazoa; Cnidaria; Anthozoa; Malacalcyonacea; Plexauridae. The record is from Rfam by way of RNAcentral.